GGGUUGUGAGGUUAAGCGACUAAGCGUACACGGUGGAUGCCCUGGCAGUCAGAGGCGAUGAAGGGCGUGCUAAUCUGCGAUAAGCGCCGGUAAGGUGAUAUGAACCGUUAUAACCGGCGAUACCCGAAUGGGGAAACCCAGUGUGACUCGUCACACUAUCAUUAACUGAAUCCAUAGGUUAAUGAGGCGAACCGGGGGAACUGAAACAUCUAAGUACCCCGAGGAAAAGAAAUCAACCGAGAUUCCCCCAGUAGCGGCGAGCGAACGGGGAGGAGCCCAGAGUCUGAAUCAGCAUGUGUGUUAGUGGAAGCGUCUGGAAAGGCGCGCGAUACAGGGUGACAGCCCCGUACACAAAAGCGCAUGUGCUGUGAGCUCGAUGAGUAGGGCGGGACACGUGGUAUCCUGUCUGAAUAUGGGGGGACCAUCCUCCAAGGCUAAAUACUCCUGACUGACCGAUAGUGAACCAGUACCGUGAGGGAAAGGCGAAAAGAACCCCGGCGAGGGGAGUGAAAAAGAACCUGAAACCGUGUACGUACAAGCAGUGGGAGCCCCACCACUAAGCCAGUGGUGAACUCCACAUACGCAUCCUUUGCUGAGGAUACGGUUAACGGAGCGAAAGCGACGUUCAACCUCAAAAGAAGCAGAGGGGGCUUAGUGGUGGGGUGACUGCGUACCUUUUGUAUAAUGGGUCAGCGACUUAUAUUCUGUAGCAAGGUUAACCGAAUAGGGGAGCCGGAGGGAAACCGAGUCUUAAUUGGGCGUUAAGUUGCAGGGUAUAGACCCGAAACCCGGUGAUCUAGCCAUGGGCAGGUUGAAGGUUGGGUAACACUAACUGGAGGACCGAACCGACUAAUGUUGAAAAAUUAGCGGAUGACCUGUGGCUGGGGGUGAAAGGCCAAUCAAACCGGGAGAUAGCUGGUUCUCCCCGAAAGCUAUUUAGGUAGCGCCUCGUGAAUUCAUCUCCGGGGGUAGAGCACUGUUUCGGCUAGGGGGCCAUCCCGGCUUACCAACCCGAUGCAAACUGCGAAUACCGGAGAAUGUUAUCACGGGAGACACACGGCGGGUGCUAACGUCCGUCGUGAAGAGGGAAACAACCCAGACCGCCAGCUAAGGUCCCAAAGUCAUGGUUAAGUGGGAAACGAUGUGGGAAGGCCCAGACAGCCAGGAUGUUGGCUUAGAAGCAGCCAUCAUUUAAAGAAAGCGUAAUAGCUCACUGGUCGAGUCGGCCUGCGCGGAAGAUGUAACGGGGCUAAACCAUGCACCGAAGCUGCGGCAGCGAC
RNAcentral lists this ribosomal RNA (1280 nucleotides) under Salmonella enterica subsp. enterica serovar Kiambu. Its description in RNAcentral is "partial 23S ribosomal RNA". It matches the Rfam family "Bacterial large subunit ribosomal RNA", at positions 1 to 1212 of the family's 2925-position model. Lineage: Bacteria; Pseudomonadati; Pseudomonadota; Gammaproteobacteria; Enterobacterales; Enterobacteriaceae. The record is from RNAcentral.